AAUACCAAGGCGCUUGAGAGAACUCGGGUGAAGGAACUAGGCAAAAUGGUACCGUAACUUCGGGAGAAGGUACGCUCUUGAUGGUGAAGUCCCUCGCGGAUGGAGCUGACGAGAGUCGCAGAUACCAGGUGGCUGCAACUGUUUAUUAAAAACACAGCACUGUGCAAAAUCGCAAGAUGACGUAUACGGUGUGACGCCUGCCCGGUGCCGGAAGGUUAAUUGAUGGGGUUAGCGCAAGCGAAGCUCUUGAUCGAAGCCCCGGUAAACGGCGGCCGUAACUAUAACGGUCCUAAGGUAGCGAAAUUCCUUGUCGGGUAAGUUCCGACCUGCACGAAUGGCGUAAUGAUGGCCACGCUGUCUCCACCCGAGACUCAGUGAAAUUGAAAUCGCUGUGAAGAUGCAGUGUACCCGCGGCUAGACGGAAAGACCCCGUGAACCUUUACUACAGCUUGGCACUGAACAUUGAACCUACAUGUGUAGGAUAGGUGGGAGGCUAUGAAGACGUGACGCCAGUUGCGUUGGAGCCGUCCUUGAAAUACCACCCUUGUAUGUUUGAUGUUCUAACUUAGACCCAUUAUCUGGGUUGAGGACAGUGCCUGGUGGGUAGUUUGACUGGGGCGGUCUCCUCCCAAAGAGUAACGGAGGAGCACGAAGGUGGGCUAAUCACGGUUGGACAUCGUGAGGUUAGUGCAAUGGCAUAAGCCCGCUUAACUGCGAGAAUGACGGUUCGAGCAGGUGCGAAAGCAGGUCAUAGUGAUCCGGUGGUUCUGUAUGGAAGGGCCAUCGCUCAACGGAUAAAAGGUACUCCGGGGAUAACAGGCUGAUACCGCCCAAGAGUUCAUAUCGACGGCGGUGUUUGGCACCUCGAUGUCGGCUCAUCACAUCCUGGGGCUGAAGUCGGUCCCAAGGGUAUGGCUGUUCGCCAUUUAAAGUGGUACGCGAGCUGGGUUUAGAACGUCGUGAGACAGUUCGGUCCCUAUCUGCCGUGGGCGUUGGAAGAUUGAAGGGGGCUGCUCCUAGUACGAGAGGACCGGAGUGGACGAACCUCUGGUGUUCGGGUUGUGUCGCCAGACGCAUUGCCCGGUAGCUAAGUUCGGAAUUGAUAAGCGCUGAAAGCAUCUAAGCGCGAAGCGAGCCCUGAGAUGAGUCUUCCCUGACAGUUUAACUGUCCUAAAGGGUUGUUCGAGACUAGAACGUUGAUAGGCAGGGUGUGUAAGCGUUGUGAGGCGUUGAGCUAACCUGUACUAAUUGCCCGUGAGGCUUAACCAU
Molecule: ribosomal RNA, 1269 nt
Filed under: Vibrio cholerae HCUF01
Lineage: Bacteria; Pseudomonadati; Pseudomonadota; Gammaproteobacteria; Vibrionales; Vibrionaceae
Description: bacterial LSU rRNA
Rfam family: Bacterial large subunit ribosomal RNA
Source: RNAcentral